This 247-nucleotide ribosomal RNA is filed under the name uncultured bacterium. RNAcentral describes it as "partial 16S ribosomal RNA". It matches the Rfam family "Bacterial small subunit ribosomal RNA", at positions 523 to 769 of the family's 1533-position model. The record is from RNAcentral.
AUACGGAGGAUGCAAGCGUUAUCCGGAUUUAUUGGGUUUAAAGGGUGCGCAGGUGGUUUAAUAAGUCAGUGGUGAAAGUCUGGCGCUUAACGUUAGGAUUGCCAUCGAUACUGUUAGACUUGAAUAUGGAUGAGGUAGGCGGAAUGUGUAGUGUAGCGGUGAAAUGCUUAGAUAUUACACAGAACACCGAUUGCGAAGGCAGCUUACUAAUCCAUCAUUGACGCUGAGGCACGAAAGCGUGGGGAUC